AAGGACCGAGAGAAGGCCGUGGAAGAAGCAAACGUGGGCCUGGAAACGCUAGAAAAUGAGCUCAAGGAUAAGAAGUUCUUUGGAGGAGAGAGUAUCGGAUUUGUAGAUAUCGCUGCCAAUUUCAUAGGCUUUUGGGUUGGAGUUCUUGAGGAAGUGGUUGGAGUGGAAUUGCUGACAAUUGACAAAUUUCCAAUAUUAUGCAAAUGGAGAGAUGAGUACGUCGGGUGCAGUGGGAUCAAGGAAAAUCUGCCUUCCAAAGAAAAGCUAGGGGCCUAUUUUCGGACCCGGGUUGAAAGCGCCAGUCAAUCCGAAUGAAUGGUUUGUGGAUGAGGUUAUGCGGACUGCUGCUCAUGGACAUGAGUAACUUGAAAGAAAACCAGCCUUCUGUAUGUUUGUGUAAUGCGUUAUGCUUCUGCUUUUCUAGUAUGUUGUAUACUUGUUUUGGCAUGUAAUAAGGAGUCGAUUGCCGUGGUUUGUCGUUUUGGAUGAACCGGCAAACGUGUUAGACUAUAUGGUCUGUACACCUUUUCCACUCCUCGCUUUGUGAGAAUAAAGGAUGUUGAGUCAAACAUUGACAGUGUGAACUUGAACAUGGAAACAAUAAAGCCCGUCACUCUUGCUUUGUGUGCGGCUCAGAAGCUGAACAUGUAGUCCAGGAGCCGUGAUUCAACUCUCUUACUAACAAAAAGACAACAUAUACCCCCUCAAUCGGUCAUUAAUGACAUAUUUAUUUUCUUUAUUCAUUAUGUCAUCAUGCUAUUCCUUCACUUUUUCCUUCUCAAGUGGAUUAAGCAGAGACCUUGGAAAAAUUAAUCCUUUUGAGGAGGCAGAAGUAGGCAUGUUUGCAUGUGAUUAAGAAUAAACAUCGGCCAUGGAGAAUGAACAUUGUUACAUGACCUAGCCAUGAAUAUAUACUAAAACAUAAAGAGCUAGGAAUUCCCAACUCCACCUCGGGUAGAUUUGGUGUGGAUUGAACAUACUAUAGACGAGAUACGAGUUAGCCUGCCAUCCUGUCCAAUCUAAUUAAGUUGCAGCUAGUCUUAAAAAGAACCAAUUUCCUUCUAAAUAUUCAUUUAGGAACUGGGAAGGAUACCUUUCAUAAACAUGUCAUAACACACUUGACAACCCGGGACUACUAUGGUAGAUUAUGCAUUAAUAGGGCCUCUUUUUCUUCCUUUUUCACUUUUCUGGAAGUGUACACCAACAACUGUGCCUGGGGGAUGAUAUCGAUUGACGAAUUUAUAAGUAUAAAACACCUAAGGUUGUUCUAUGGUACCCAAUCUCUAUUUUGGGAUACCUACCCACAUUUGACCCCAAUAAAAAGAUGACAUGUGUAAAGUACAUAUCAUUAAAAAAUUUAUAAAAACUUAUCAAAUCGGUAAAGAUAAUUUGUUGGUGAGAAAUAAUCACAUGCAUUUCAUCUAUAUAUAAAUAUUAUAACUUUUUUAUAAUUUAUUAUUAAAUAUCAAAUAUAAUUUGUUAUUUAAUGCAUUACCUAACUCUAUCUAAAAAAAGAAAAUCCUACCAACUAUUCUUAUACUCUCAUUAUUCAUAUAUAAAAAAAAAGAUAGUAAUUUAAUAUGAAAAUUAAAUAAUUUCAACUACCAAAUUACAAAAUAUGUAAGACGUAUUUUGAUGAAUCAAAUUUCAAGAUCAAGUUUAAAACUUUUUUAGAGAGAAAAAUUAAAAUUUGUAUUAUAUGAAGAAGAUGAAGGAUUUCAAGUGAUUACAAGUGUCAAAAAUAAUAUUUGAUAUUUUUUUUAUCCAAAUAUAAUUGUUGUAGAAAGAAAUGUGAUGUUAAAUAACGAUUUUAGAAUUUUUUAUGAGUUUAUUAUAAAAUUUUGUUAUCAAAUUGUUACUAAUAUUUUUAUAUAAUUAUUUUUUUUUUGUUCAUAGAUUAAAUUUGAAGAUGAAGCUUUAUAUGUCUUGAAGGAUGUCAAGUGAUUACAAGUGUUAAAAGGUAACCUUUGAUUUUUUUUUCCAUUUACAUAUAACUAUUGUAGGUAGAAAUGUCAUGUUAAAUGACAUUUAAAUAUGUAAUGAUUUAUAACAUCUAGAUUUUUUAAUUUUUUUUAGUUAUUAUUAAUCAAAUUGAGAGCAUUUAGUCAUUUGUUAUGAAAUUGUCAUCAAUAUUUUGUAAGAUAAGGGUACAAACUUUUUAAGAGAUGGUACAAACUUUAGUACAAACAUUGUAAGAGAGGAUACGAACAUUAUAAGAUAAUAUACGAACUUUCUAAGAGAUGGUACGAAGUUUACAAGAGAUUGUACGAACUUUGUAAGAGAUGGUACGAACUUUCUAAGAAAAUAUAUGAACUUUAUAAGAGAUGGUAUGAACUUUGUAAGAGAAGGUACGAACUUUGUAAGAGAAUGUACGAACUUUCUAAGACAAUGUACGAACGUGGUAAAAGAGGAUACGAACUUUGUAAGAAAUGGUACAAACUUUCUAAGAGAUGGUACGAACUUUUUGAAGAGAUUGUACGAACUUUCUAAGAUAGUGUACAAACUUUGUAAAAGAUGGUACGAACUUUGUAAGAGAUGGUACGAACUUUCUAAGAAAUUGUACGAACUUUCUAAGAGAUAGUAUGAACUUUGUAAAAGAUGGUACGAACUUUGUAAAAGAGGGUACGAACUUUUUAAGAGAUGGUACGAAUUUUAUAAGAGAGUGUACGAACUUUGAAAAUAUAAUAUUUUACAAUUACGUAGUGUUUUAAUUUUUUAAUUUUCUUGAAAAUAGUUUCCAUCAUUUCUAUGCUUGAUUAGUAUCAAUAAACAAUAUUAUUUGCAUUUUUAAGUGGAAAAAAUUGAAAAAAUUUUAAAUUUCAGGAUAUGGAGAAUAUGAUGUAGGGUAUGAAGAAUGUAUGGAUUUCUCAUAAUCUUCAUACCUUUUCUCACAUGUUUUGUAUCCUCUCUAAUUUUUUAGUGUUUUAAUUUUCUAAUUUUUUUUAGGAUAAUUUACAUUAUUUCCAAUUUUAAAAUUUUAAAAUUCUUUUUUUUGUAACAAUUCUAUCAAUAAUAACUCAAAUAAUAUUAUUAAACUAUGUUAUUGUUAUUUCAAGUUAAAAACUAAAUAUGAAAUUUUAAAAAUAUAAAUAAUUUAGGGUACAAAAAAUAUGAGAACAGUACGAAAAAUGUGAUAAAUACAUGUUUGGCACUUUCAUCACAUUUUUUAUAUUGAUUUUUAGUUUUAAAAUUUUUGAAAUUAAAAAUUUAUUUUCGAAAAUACUAUCAUUAGUAACUCAAAAGAGUAUUAGUAAUUUAUUUUAUCUAAUUUAACUUUAAAAACCUUAAAUUCAAAAAAUGUAAAAUUUGGAGAGUACAUAAAAAAAUUAGGACAAUCUAAUUACCUAAGUUUUACAUAUGAUUAUCAAAAUGUUGAAUUUUAAUUAAAAUACUCAUUUUAUAUUAAAAUAUUAUCAUAUUCAUUUUUAUGUUGAAUUUAAAUCUUUAAUAAUUUGUUAAAAAUAAAAUAAUGUAAUUAUGAUAUAUGAUGAUUUUUUUUUUUUGCUAAUAAAUAUGUUUUCAAAUUUUAUAUCAUUUUUAUUUUUAUUUUUUUCCAAUUCUAUUUUUAUCUCAUAUUUAUUUUAUUUAAACCAAAAAUUGUUAAGAAUGGAGGAAGAAAGAAGGUCAUGAUUCUUCUCUUAACUGGUUAAGAGGAAUUUUUAUUUCAAAUUUAAAAUAGAUGGCCAAGAUGUAAUAUUGAACAUCAAUGGCUUAGAAAAACUUUUCGGUAGGUACCGAAGAGGUACCCUAGAAUUUUCCAACACCUGGAGGCUUAUUUGCCAAGUAAUCCUAUAAUUGUCCCUCCGUAAGAAGGCGCGAACUUGAAAGAAGAACCAAAUGUAAAAGCAGAACCACAUACUCUUUUAAUGUGGAAAUAGAGAAGUUGGGACCAAGUGAAGCUCAUUGUGAUGUGGGAAAACCCUUUGAAACUAAAAUGAGUCUGGUAUGAUUACAAUGAAGAAGAUCUCAAUAAUAAGAGUUUGUUGCUUCUCUAGUCGCUCUACAUGCUCCCACACAACAUAAAGCCCAUUGUGGAUUGUUAACUUGUAAUGCAUAGAAGAACUUAGAAAGCGGCGAUCUAUGGCACGUUUCUGUAAUGUCCGGGUAUUUUAGGCCACGUUGAAAAUUCUAGUUUGAAAAGUUUUCCUUUGAGUAGUGGUUGAAAAGUCAAAAAAAAAAAAAAAAUGAUUGGAGAAUACGUGUUAAUUUUGAAUUGAUGAAAUUCGAUUUAUUGUGUUGAUCAAUUAGACGAGUUAAAAAUUUUGUGCCACGUCAACCUUAUGGUAGAAAUUUUCUUAGGAUUUUAGAAAUUGAAAAUUUCCGGAAACAAAAAAUGAAAACAAAAAUGAAAAGUGAAUUAAUUAAAAUUAAUUAGAAUUAAUUUUUAUCAAAAUUUUCUUAGGAUAUUAAAAAUUGAAAAUUUCAGGAAACGAAAAACGAAAACGAAAAUGAAAAGUAAAUUAAUUAAAAUUAAUUAGAAUUAAUUUUUAUCAAAAUUUUCUUAGGAUUUUAGAAAUUGAAAAUUUACGGAAACGAAAAACGAAAACGAAAAUUAAAAGUGAAUUAAUUAAAAUUAAUUAGAAUUAAUUAAAUAAAAAAAUAAAUUAAAUUUGUUUAUUAAGAAAAAUUGAGAAAAUUAAAUUUUUGAGUUGGUGUUUAAUACAUUAAUUUGUGUGUUAGUAAAAAAAAUUGGAAAUGAAACAAAUGGGAUAAAUAUAAUAAAAGAAAUAAAUAGGAUUCAAUGGGGCCUUUGGAUAUUGGGUCAUGGAUAAUGGGCUGGUGGUUAAAUGAAAUAAAUAAAAUAAAAUAAAAAAGGAAAAAAGGAAAAGCAAUUAAAAAGUGGUAGAACAGGAGAGAGAGAAAGAGUCCUGACGGACUGUGGAGAAACCCAUCUCGUCAGAACUUUGGCCAACCUAUUGGACGGUCGAACGUCCGUUUCGGCUCAAAUUUUGAAGAGGUGUUCUACUCGACGAAAGAAACGAUUCUACGAUGGCCGAUCAUGAUUUUAAUGGUCGAAUUCUUAAAUCUAUGGUAUGAACUUUUAAUUUGGACUGUAAUGAUAAGUAAUACAUCUUGUUGCUUUUGAGCAGUGUUUGGGAUAUUAUUAGUUGAUGAAAACUCUAGUGUGAGGUAUGUGUCGAAGAAAAAAAAUAAAAAUUCAGAGUGUUUUGGUUGAUUGCGAGCGUAGAAUAAAAGGAACCCUUAGAGUCAAACCUUUGACUUGGGGUCAUGGGCCAAAUUUUGGGUGGCCCGGAAUUUGAGUCGUGAUAGUUUCUAUGCUAAAUUUGCAGAUGAGAAGGUACACCGUACACAUAUCAUUUUCUCAUGUCCUCACUAAAAGCUUACUAACAUUUACUAUCUUUUAGGGUUGCAGCAGCCAUGCAUCUAUGCAUCUCACACAAAAAAACUAAUGGGAGAAUUACCAGAUAAAACCAAUGGAGAAUUACCAAAAUUAUCCUUCAACUAAAACUUUUAAAAUUCAAAGAAUUUAAAUCACUUCACUUGGUUUGUAGGGACAUUUAUGGUGCGUGACCCCUACAUUUAUUGUAAUUAUUGACAUUCAAAUUUUAAAUCAAAAUUUUGAGUUUUAAUUUUUACAAUUAUUAUAUAUAAUGAUAGUAUAAUUUGUUAUUUAAAUUUACUAUUUAAAACAAAAAUAUUUCUAAAAAAUAUUUUCAAAAUAUUAUUUAUUGUGUUUAUUUUUUUACAUUUUUUAUUUCUAAUUUUAAAUUUUAUUAAGAAAAAAACAAGUUUCAUAAUUAUAUAAUAAAAAUGAUGACUUUUUCAUAUCUAUAUUUUUAAAUUUUAAAUUGAUAAGUUAAUUUUUUUAUAUUAAAUUCGAAGAAGAUAAAAUGUUUAAUUUUUCAUUGAUUAUCUAAAAAGAAUAAGAAAAUGAUGAAGAAUGUUUAAUCAUUUUUUAUUUUUUAUAAUAAAAUAAAUUUUUUUAAAAAAAUAUAUGAUUUUUUUUCCUAUGCAUAGUUUUUUUUUUCUUAAUUUUCAUAUAUAUAUAUUUUUUUUCUCAAUGCGUCAAGUGGAUGGUGUCAAUACAUUUGAUAUGUUGAAUAUUAAUGAGGUAUAAAAAGUGAUCUUUAUGAUUAUUACUUUUAUUAUAAACCAUAGGUAUAACACAAAUAUGUUGUAAUCACAAUAUAAAUAUACAUUACAAUAAAACCUAAUUGAAAAAAUUUUGAAAUUUUUUAUAAAAGUGAUAAUUUUGUAUGAUCAUACCAUAUUUCAUGACAUAUUUAUAUUAUAAAUCAUUUAUGAAACUAAAUGAAAUACUAAUUUGAAUUCUUAAGACUAUAUAUAUAUAUAUAUUUCAAUGCACCGAAUGAUCGUUAAUAUAUUGAUAUGAUGUGUUAAUACCAAUAAGAUAUAAAUAAACAUUUUUAUAAUUAUUACUUUUAUAAUGAAAUAUAGAUAUAGCAUAAAUGUAUUAUACUUAUAAUACAAAUACACUAUCUUUACAAUAUAUUGCAACAUAAUUUAAUUUUUUCAUGUGUUGUAUUACCCAAUGAAUAGUUGUUCGUUAAUUCAUUUAAUAGUUGUGUAUUAUUCAAUUGAAUAUUUAUAUAUUAUUCAAUUGAUGAGAAAAUAAUUAUUCAUUUUAUUAGGGUAACAAAGUUUUUAAUUUAUAUUUCAUAUGUAAAAUGAUAUAAUAACCUUAGGAUAUAAUUUUUAUUUAUAAGAUAUUGAAAAUUAUUUUUUGUACGAGGUUCUUUAAAAAAUCUCAAUUUUUUUUGAAAAAAAAACAAUUUUUUAUUUUUUGGAGUAUGAGAAAUAUAAUGUUGAUUACUUGUACUUAUAUCAUGUAUGCACCCACUAAUUAUCACAUCCAACCCACCUUAUCUGAUAAUUCUCCCAAAAUUAAUUGAAUUUAUUGAUCUAUUUAGUGUUUCCCUACACUUUUUGUCAUAAGCAUAGAUGAAAAUUUCAAAAAAAAAAAAAAAAAAAGGUCGAAAUUUCAUGUUUCAGUAAGGGACAAUACAAAAAAUGGAAAAAAAUAUUGGAAAAAAUCAACGAAAUAUCAACUAGGACCAAUUAAUCAAUGAUUUAAAACGCGGAUUUAAUUUAAUUUAAUUGACCAUAAAAAAUAUAAAAUUAUAGUGAUAAUUUUCUUAACUUUUUUUUAUAUCAUUUAUAUAUUAAUUAAAUAUAAAAAAUAUAAAUAUUUAAAAAAAUUAUACAUAUAUAAUCAUUUAUUUUAUAUUAUUUAAUACAAUUGAAUUAAAUGGAUCAUAAUUUUAAUAUUAAAUAUAUUUUAAAAUUAGACCUAUUAUAAUUAUAUAUCACAAUAUUAUUAUGGAAUAAUAGUUAAUGUAAUUUAAUAAUAAAUAUAUGCUUAUAAAAUUCAUAUUUUUUUUAUUGAGGCAUAUAAUAUUAUUAUCAAAUAUGAUAAAUUUUAUUUUUCUUAAGAUAAUUUUGUAGUUUAUUACACUCAAAUUGAUCAAAUUUAACGUCAAUACGUAAAGUCUAGGAGCAUAUAGCAAUUAUCCAUAGGUAUCAUUUAUAAAAAAAAAUGUGUGUAUUUUCCGUAAUUAGUUUGUAAUGGAAGGUGUCAUAAUAAUAAAGAUAUUGAAUAACGACAUAAAUAUAAUAUUAAUAAUAAUAUCAACUGUCUUUAUAAUAAUAGGUAUAAUAUUAAUAAAAAUAAUACUAAUACCAUCAAUAAUAUUAAUAAUGAUAUGAAUAAUAUAAUAUUAAUCUCUCAUAAACAAUAAUAUUAAAAAUAGCAUAAAUAUUUAACUAUAAUAAUAUAAUAUUUAAUUAUUAAUAUUUAAUCCGUCUUUUUCUUUCCUUCUUUUUCACCUGUCGGCCGCCUUGGUUGAAAUUGUCAACCACCCACCCCCACAUAACAAUUGACGUUAGAUUAUUAUAUCAAAUUAUCAAUAUUGAGAGGUUUUUAGAAUUUAAAUGUUUUUUUUAAUUUAACGUUCACAUCUGGAUUUUUUUGUAAAAAAAAUAAAAAUAAAAGAUGAAUAAGUUGAUAAGAUUUCAUGAAAUUCAAAAUUCAUUUUUUGAAUUAAAUUGAUUAAAAAUAAAAUAGAGAUAAUCAUCCUAAUUCAAGAUAUAAAGAUUUUUCAUAGAUAUUUAUAUGAAUUAUAAUUUUUAUUUUUAUUUUAUAAAAAAAAAAGUGAGGAAUAUUGUAUUAGCAAACUAUUUAGGACAAAAAAAUAAGAAAUUUAAAAAAAAUGAUAAUGAAAUUGGCUCUUUUCUUUUUAAUAAAAAAAAAUAAGAAUCUUGACAAUUUUUUUAAAUAAAAAAUAUUUGACAGAUAAUUAGAAAAAAAAAAAUACAUAUUGGUAGUGCACAUUGUGAAUGUUCAACCGUUGUUAUCUUUUGUGGUGAAUAUAAAGUAAAAUUUCUGUGUCAGGCAUCUACCAAACCGUCAUAAUUAAUUGUUAACCUGGAAUAUUGACUGAAAAUUAAUGUUUACCUUAAUAGAUAAGUAAAGUGGGGUGACAUCAUCACUUAGGUCACUUCUGGAGGGCUGCUCCUGUAAUUAAUAUUAGGGAGAAUUGUGUUUUGGGUCCAGCUGGGUCCAAAAAUUAACAUUUGGUCCUCCAAUCACCCAUAUUUAAGUCCAAGGAUAUGAGAUAGUAAUUGACAAAAAUACCCACGUGACUCAUUUUUGUCUUUAUUCUACUACUUGCCACUCAUCUUUCUUAUUUAACCAUUUUUUGAUUUUUCAUUUUUUUAAAACUCUUUAUAAAUAAUUGAAAAUUUACAUUAUUUUUUAUUUUUAAAUUAUAAAUAAACAAAAAUUAUAUUAAUGAUUCAAAGACUAUUUUAGAAAAUACUUUUUAAAAAAAUAUUAAUUUAAAUAAAUAAAAAUUAAUAUUUUAUAUUUAUUUUUAUCAUUUACAUUUUAGAAGUAAAUAAUUUAAUGAUUAAAAUACCAUUUAAAAUAAAUAUAUUCACUAUUUUAUUUUAUUUUUAUACUAAAAAGUAUUUUAAAGUUUUUUUUUACUAUUAUAAAAUAAAAAGUUUAAUUUUUUUUUAAUCUUCUUCCUUCCUUAUUUUAACAACUUUUUGAACAUGAUUUUUAGUAAUAAGUUAUAUGAAAUGCUACAAAUUUAUUUAUUAAUGAUUUUUUUUUUAAUGAUUUGAAUUAAUUGAAAAUUUAUUAAAAUAAAAAAAAUAAAAAAAAUAAAGAAAGGGGAUGGAUUGAGAGUUUUUAUUUUAAUAUAUAUAUAUAUAUAUAUUUUAAAAAAAUUCCCAAAUUAAAAAAGGAAAAAAAAAAAACAAUUCCUCAAGUUCCCAUGAAAAAAAAAAUGUUUUUUUUAAAUUCCCAAAUUAUAAAAAAAAAAAAAAAAAAUUACUCAAGGGAACUCGUCUCUUCAUGAAAAAAAAAAUAUUUUUUUUUAAAAAAAAAUUCCUCAAGGUAACUCGUCUUUUGAAAAAAAAAAUUUUAUAUAUAUAUAUAUUUUUAAAAAUUCCCAAAUUAUAUUAAAAAAAAAAACCACCCGGGUGGAUAUUCGGAGAAAGUGGGAUGUCAUCCGGACAGAAUUCCUACCCGGGUGGAAUGAGCGAUGAUUCCAUCCGGGGGGAAUGAUCGUUCCACCCGGGUAGGAAUUCUGUCCGGAUGACAUCCCACUUUAUCCGGAUAUCCACCCGAGUGGUUUUUUUUUUUUAAUAUAAUUUGGGAAUUUUAAAAAGAUAUAUAUAUAAAUUUUUUUUUUUUUCAAGAGACGAGUUACCAGGCUCCUAAUAGGUUUUGUACUAUUUUUAAACAACUUGAAUUUGAUAUUAAGACAAUUAUUGAUAGUUUUUUUUUUUCUUUUUUUUACCAAACUAUUUCAUUAAGACAUUCCCUACAAAAAUUAACACAUAAGAAAUAAAAUUUUGAGUUUUUUGAGUUAUUGUACAAGGUAUUACACUAACUGUACAAGACAAAUUUAGUAAUUGUAUAAGGGUGUAUAAGACUACUUUUUGUUAAGGAUUUCAAGUGAUUUUGAAAAAAUUUCCUAUUUUUUUCCAUUCAAAAUUUUUUCCCCCACUCAAAUUCUCUCACUCAAGAAUUGUUUCAAAUUUUAUUUUUAAAUUUCAUCAUCAAAAAUUUGUAAUUGUAUAUUUUGUUUUGUAGUUUUAGCAAUGUUAUUUCUUUUCACUAUAUAUUUUUUUUUUGUGAAAUUUUAUCCAAAUGAAUCUAUAUUUAAAAUUAUAAUCAUAUUUAUCAAAAUUUUUACUAAGAUUAUCUUUAAUUCUUUUAAUAUAUUUAUACUCAUUUAUUUAAAAAAUGAAAAACUAAUUUAUUUAUUUUUUUGUAAACAUGUUCUAUUACCUUUCAAGUAAAAAAUUAGAUAAGUUUCAAAGUCAAUAAAUAAAAAAAUUAAAUACCACUUUCAAUAAUUUUUAGAUAAAAUUUUAUAUAAUAUAUUUUAUUUGAAACUUAAUUUUUAAAGUUUAACUAAAAAAUUGUAUUGACAAUUUUCUUGUUGUGGGUCAAAAUACUUUGCAUUAGUCUAUCUAGAUAAGAAAAAUUAUUAAUAUAAUAUUAGAACUUCAUAUCUUAGUUUUUUUUUUUCAACAAAUUUAUCUUUUUAAAAAUUUUAAAAUAAAAUCAUUAAAAAUUAAAAAGCUAAAAAGAUAUAUAUAAUAAAGUGAAGUGAUAGUUAAUUUUAAAAUUUUUUAAAAUAUGGUUAAUGUAGAAAAUAUAAAAAAUAAUUAAAAAUAAGAGAAAAAUAUAGAUGAAAGGGUAAUAUAAAUUUAAAAUAAAAAAUGAAAAUUAAACUAAAAGAUAAAUACAAAAAGAUAAAAAAUAUUUGGAUGAAAAAUCCCAAAAUUUUUAUCAUUGCUUUUAAUAAGAGCAAAAAGAUUCAAUAUCUUUAAAAAUGAAAAAUAAAAAAAUAUUAUUGUUUUUUAUUUGACAUAAAAUAGAAAUAUAUAUUGGAAUAAAAAGGACAAAAAAAAGUUAGAAAUGAGUAAUAUUUAAUAGGGAAUAGAAAAGGAAAUAAAAAAUAAAAAAAAAAUUAAAAUUCACACUCACUUGUAGGCAUAUAAGGGAUAAGGGUAUUUUAGGAAUUAAUGAAAGACAAUAUCCUUCAUCUUCAUUUUCAUACUUUGUUUGGGUCUUGGGCUUAAAUAUGAGUGAUUGGAGGACCAAAUGUUAAUUUUUGGACCCAGCUGGACCCAAAACACAAUUCUCCCUUAAUAUUAUACGCCUCUCAGAAGGCUCUAUAUAUAUAUUAUUAAUUUGGCCAUUGACCGAUGGACAAUAUGAUUAAGGGUCAAGAGCAGUAAUGAAACCGUGAAGCACUUGGAUAGACCUUAUAAGAAGCCAUCAAAUGGAGCAGAGGAACCAAGCUUAGAUAGUGAUAUAAUGGCUGAAGAAGUGAAGCUAAUUGGGGUGUGGGGAAGCCCAUUUAGUCGCAGAGUAGAGAUUGCUCUGAAACUGAAAGGAGUCCAGUAUGAGUACAUUGAAGUUGAUCUCACUAAUAAGAGCCCUUUGCUUCUCAAGUCUAACCCCGUUCACAAGAAGGUCCCUGUGCUCUUGCACAACGGGAAGCCCAUCGCGGAAUCACUCGUUAUUCUCGAGUACAUCGACGAGACCUGGAAAGCCAAUCCUAUCUUGCCUCAGCACCCUUAUGACAGAGCCAUGGCACGCUUCUGGGCUAAGUACAUAGAUGAAAAGGUAUAAUACCAUUUUUCCCAUGCCCUUUUUUUUUCCCCCGCAGAACAUUCUUGAGUCAAAUGAUUUUUUCCUAGGCCUGCAACCCCUAUUUCACUUAGAAACCAAUUGAAUCUAUUGUGUUUAGUGCUUGCCUGCACUGUGGAACGCUUGUUGGUGCGAAAAGAAGGACCGAGAGAAGGCCGUGGAAGAAGCAAACGUGUGCCUGAAAACGCUAGAAAAUGAGCUCAAGGAUAAGAAGUUCUUUGGAGGAGAGAGUAUCGGAUUUGUAGAUAUCGCUGCCAAUUUCAUAGGCUUUUGGGUUGGAGUUCUUGGGGAAGUGGUUGGAGUGGAAUUGCUGACAAUUGACAAAUUUCCAAUAUUAUGCAAAUGGAGAGAUGAGUACGUCGGGUGCAGUGUGAUCAAGGAAAAUCUGCCUUCCAAAGAAAAGCUAGGGGCCUAUUUGCGGACCCGGGCUGAAAGCGCCAGUCAAUCCAAAUGAAUGGUUUGUGGAUGAGGUUAUGCGGACUGCUGCUCAUGGACAUGAGUAACUUGAAAGAAAACCAGCCUUCUGUAUAUUUGUGUAAUGCGUUGUGCUUCUGCUUUUCUAGUAUGUUGUCUACUUGUUUUGGCAUGUAAUAAGGACUAAGGAGUCGAUUGCCGUGGUUUGUCGUUUUGGAUGAACCGGCAAACGUGUUAGACUAUAUGGUCUGUGCACCUUUUCCACUCCUCGCUUUGUGAGAAUAAAGGAUGUUGAGUCAAACAUUGACAGUGUGAACUUGAACAUGGAAACAGUAAAGC
RNAcentral lists this long non-coding RNA (12412 nucleotides) under Vitis vinifera (wine grape). Its description in RNAcentral is "long non-coding RNA (VVIN_LNC002585)". Lineage: Eukaryota; Viridiplantae; Streptophyta; Magnoliopsida; Vitales; Vitaceae. The record is from RNAcentral.